RNAcentral lists this transfer RNA (74 nucleotides) under Marmota monax (woodchuck). RNAcentral's name for it is "tRNA.Ala". The record is from RNAcentral. Lineage: Eukaryota; Metazoa; Chordata; Mammalia; Rodentia; Sciuridae.
CUGAGAGUAUAGCUCAAUGGUAGAGCACUUUCCUAGCAUGUGAGAAGCUCUUGGUUCCAUUCCCAGCUUUGAAA